AGCAGUAGCCGCGGUAAUACAGAGGAUGCAAGCGUUAUCCGGAAUGAUUGGGCGUAAAGCGUCUGUAGGUGGCUUUUCAAGUCCGCCGUCAAAUCCCAGGGCUCAACCCUGGACAGGCGGUGGAAACUACCAAGCUGGAGUACGGCAGGGGCAGAGGGAGUUUCCGGUGGAGCGGUGAAAUGCAUUGAGAUCGGAAUGAACACCAACGGCGAAAGCACUCUGCUGGGCCGACACUGACACUGAGAGACGAAAGCUAGGGGAGCAAAUGGGAUUAGAUACCCGGGUAGUCCCUGUCUCUUAUAC
RNAcentral lists this ribosomal RNA (303 nucleotides) under uncultured bacterium. RNAcentral's name for it is "partial 16S ribosomal RNA". It matches the Rfam family "Bacterial small subunit ribosomal RNA", at positions 507 to 807 of the family's 1533-position model. The record is from RNAcentral.